CUGUGUAUAUAUAUAUAUAUAUAUAUAUAUAUGAGCAUAUAUAUAUGCUCAAAUAGCACCUGGUUCAUUAUGAUUAGUGGAUUUUUUUUAUCGUAGCAGUUAGAAAACAAGCUUUCCACAACCCCAACCGUUUCAGCAGAGAGCCAUUAUACAGAGUCAUCAGAAACCAGCCUCCACCGGUGCUCUCUAUCAACUUGGACCAUAAUCCAUAUAAAUGUGGCGUUCCUGGCUGUGCAAAGUCUUUCCGGAAAGCAAAACUCCUGCACUAUCAUAUGAAGUACUACCAUGGAGAUGAUCGUCUGAUAGAACCUAACCAGACCAGGGCAAUGGACAAACACACCACACUUAAUAAUCAGGAUAGCUCUAAGAAGAGGUGCAUUACAUCACAUGAGUGUGCGCAGAUGUCUGUGAAGAGACUCUCUCUAGCGCCCCCUGUUGUCAGUGCACAGAAUUACCAACGGUGGCCAUCACUGAAGGACAAGACCAGAGAGAAUCAGCUAGACAGCAACAUGCAUAGAUACUUCAACAAGGAAAGAGAGAGGAGGUUUAUGGAAAUGGAAGGUGUGAAGGAGCGUGACAGGCUAAAAGAGAAACAGACUAGAGACUUUCUGCGAAUUAAGUUAAAGGAAAAGAAAAAAAUGAGAAAAACCACAUCAGGUGAAGAAAGUUUU
This 671-nucleotide long non-coding RNA is filed under the name Sinocyclocheilus grahami. RNAcentral describes it as "lncRNA (ENSSGRG00000037575.1)". The record is from RNAcentral. Lineage: Eukaryota; Metazoa; Chordata; Actinopteri; Cypriniformes; Cyprinidae.